RNAcentral lists this ribosomal RNA (229 nucleotides) under uncultured bacterium. RNAcentral describes it as "partial 16S ribosomal RNA". It matches the Rfam family "Bacterial small subunit ribosomal RNA", at positions 568 to 796 of the family's 1533-position model. The record is from RNAcentral.
UGCGUAGGCGGAUUAAUAAGUCAGUGGUGAAAACCUUCAGCUUAACUGGAGACUUGCCAUUGAUACUGUUAGUCUUGAGUACGGUCAAGGUAGGCGGAAUGUGUAAUGUAGCGGUGAAAUGCUUAGAUAUUACACAGAACACCGAUUGCGAAGGCAGCUUACUGGACCAUUACUGACGCUGAGGCACGAAAGCGUGGGGAGCGAACAGGAUUAGAUACCCUGGUAGUAC